Molecule: ribosomal RNA, 43 nt
Filed under: Venturia inaequalis
Lineage: Eukaryota; Fungi; Ascomycota; Dothideomycetes; Venturiales; Venturiaceae
Description: partial 18S ribosomal RNA
Source: RNAcentral
CGGAGAGGAGGUCGUAACAGGUCAAACCGUUCCGUAGUGAACC